UGCCAGCAGCCGCGGUAAGACAGAGGGUGCAAACGUUGCUCGGAAUUACUGGGCGUAAAGCGCACGUAGGCGGAUUCGCAAGUCAGAUGUGAAAUCCCCGGGCUCAACCUGGGAACUGCAUUUGAAACUGCGUGUCUAGAGUGGUGGAGAGGGAAGCGGAAUUCCAGGUGUAGAGGUGAAAUUCGUAGAUAUCUGGAGGAACACCAGUGGCGAAGGCGGCUUCCUGGACAUUAACUGACGCUGAGGUGCGAAAGCGUGGGGAGCGAACAGGAUUAGAUA
This 279-nucleotide ribosomal RNA is filed under the name uncultured bacterium. RNAcentral's name for it is "partial 16S ribosomal RNA". It matches the Rfam family "Bacterial small subunit ribosomal RNA", at positions 506 to 784 of the family's 1533-position model. The record is from RNAcentral.